RNAcentral lists this ribosomal RNA (497 nucleotides) under uncultured bacterium. RNAcentral describes it as "partial 16S ribosomal RNA". It matches the Rfam family "Bacterial small subunit ribosomal RNA", at positions 28 to 507 of the family's 1533-position model. The record is from RNAcentral.
GACGAACGCUGGCGGCGUGCCUAAUACAUGCAAGUAGAACGCUGAAGAGAGGAGCUUGCUCUUCUUGGAUGAGUUGCGAACGGGUGAGUAACGCGUAGGUAACCUGCCUUAUAGCGGGGGAUAACUAUUGGAAACGAUAGCUAAUACCGCAUAACAAUGGAUGACACAUGUCAUUUAUUUGAAAGGGGCAAUUGUUCCACUACAAGAUGGACCUGCGUUGUAUUAGCUAGUAGGUGAGGUAAUGGCUCACCUAGGCGACGAUACAUAGCCGACCUGAGAGGGUGAUCGGCCACACUGGGACUGAGACACGGCCCAGACUCCUACGGGAGGCAGCAGUAGGGAAUCUUCGGCAAUGGGGGCAACCCUGACCGAGCAACGCCGCGUGAGUGAAGAAGGUUUUCGGAUCGUAAAGCUCUGUUGUAAGUCAAGAACGGGUGUGAGAGUGGAAAGUUCACACUGUGACGGUAGCUUACCAGAAAGGGACGGCUAACUACGUG